This 1963-nucleotide long non-coding RNA is filed under the name Elaeis guineensis (African oil palm). RNAcentral's name for it is "long non-coding RNA (EGUI_LNC082508)". The record is from RNAcentral. Lineage: Eukaryota; Viridiplantae; Streptophyta; Magnoliopsida; Arecales; Arecaceae.
GUGGAUGGUUUAGAAAGGUUCAGACUGGAGAAAGAUCUGAUCGAUUGGUGGCUGGUUGAGUUCUGAGGCUAGAACUCUUAAAGCAAGGUGAAGGAGGAGCGCUGUCUUUGGUUCAAUUUUCGUGUGGAUCACCGUUGGAGGGCAGACACUUGGACGCCUCGUGAAAUUGAAUUAGCGUUACAGGUAUUCUUCUGAUCUAAAUUUAUUUUAUUGUACUUUGAUAGAUAUAGUCAAGAAUUUCUGGGCAUUAGGGUUUUCAGUGCAUCGGGUGUUUUUAAUAAAAAUUUUAAACACCUAAUCCUUCAGCUGCGCCAUCGAAACCCAACAGUGGUAUCAGAGCCUACCUUGAUCUAUAUAAUCAAAGGUUAAAUUAUUAUCUUGAUUGUGAUCAAGCAAGGAUUUUUAGUUUGGUUCAAAUCAGCUCAAGGGUUGAACCCGAUUAAACAUCCAAAACCUAAUGUCUUAAAGAUAGUUUUAAAUAUAAAAUGCAUGAUAUAUGUGUAGAAUUUUUUUAGUAGCUUAGUACUCUAAUUGAGGUUCAUCAUCAGGCCGUCCGAUCAUAAGAGCAAGUAGGGUUCAGAGAUCCUCUUCCUAUUCAAUAGGGUACUCUUAUGGCGCAUAGGGGUGCCAUUGUGAUGUCCUAAGAAGAAGAACCGUGAAAAAAAUAUUUUGUAUUCAUGCAUGUUAUUAGAACUUUAUGCAUAUGUGAUAUGCUUGAGAUGCUUAGUUAUAAUCAUAUUGAAUGAUUAUGAUUUCAUAUCUUAGAGAUAUGAAUAGAUGCCAUGAUUAGUUGUUAUGAUUAUUAAGAUAUAACUAUAAUAAUGCAUCAUUAUGAUUAAAUUAAGAUAUGCUUGAGACCAUUAAAACCCUCAUAAAAAUUAUAUUAAGUCGUAGUGUUAUGAAUCAGUGACUGACCUAUUUUCUUGAAUCGAUUAAUUAAUUGGUGUCUAAGGAGUGUUUCAAGUACGAUGAUUAUUUAAUUGAUUUCGUUGCUGGCCUGGCCAAUUUUAUUGGUGUCUAAGAAAAGCAACGGGGAGACCCCCACCAAUCUUAACACUUUCCUGACCAAUUGGAUUAGUUCGAAUCUUGAAUGAAGAUAGCUCAGUAUUUAAAACACUACAUAUGCCUUCUUUCAUAUCUACUCAACAUCCUGUCAAAAAUCAUAGUAGGUUUGUUGUGAUAUCCACAAGGCUUGCUAUUGAGAUUGAUAUGGAUUUGUCUUGGUGCAUAUUAUAUGCUUUAUGGCAUAUUUGGAUAUAUUGCUUUGUUGUGAUAUCCACAAAGACAUCAUUUUUCAGGUAUGGCUGUAUGGAAAUGAAGAAUCUGACUUAACUGAAAAAUACUAUAGUUUGUUGUGAUAUCCACAAAGCUAUGAGUAUUUUUAGAGGCAGAUUAUGUUGAGAGUUGCAUGAGAUGCAAUUGGAUAGGUUUUCCUAUUUUUGAACUUAUUGAGGUUUGUUGUGAUAUCUACAAGACUUCAAUAAGGGAUUAGGGACUCAACCCCAUUAAGAAACCAUAUUAGGAUUUCUAGUUUGCCAUAUAAGAGGGCUAUGGUAUCCGAUAAAAUAGUGAGAGACAACUAGUUUUUAAAAGUCCUCAACUAGUUAUGCAUGUCAAACUUGAGUGGUUUGCUUAUACUAUUAUUCUUUAUUUAUGCAGAUUUAAGUAUGCAUUAUGGCUUUUUUAUUUUCACUACAUAACACUAUAGAUAAAAAUAUGUUGACCGAUUCCAACUAUAUGGAUGAGUUGAGGAACUUGCAAGUUAGGUUCAUAUCUGAGAAGAACUCCAAUAUUUUGGAUAUUCUGACCUUGAAAUGGUCAGUAAUAAUGAGAAGGCAAUGAUGUCCAUAUGGAUAUUAUUUGUGCUAAAUUUGGACAUUGAGAGUAUAAUUGCAAGAAUUAUCUUGCAAGCUUGAAGCAGGGUGCAAGUAUAGCACCAAAAGGUAUGUAUAUGAUACAAACC